Molecule: transfer RNA, 72 nt
Filed under: Camelus bactrianus (Bactrian camel)
Lineage: Eukaryota; Metazoa; Chordata; Mammalia; Artiodactyla; Camelidae
Also listed under: 2 other names
Rfam family: tRNA
About the family: Transfer RNA (tRNA) molecules are approximately 80 nucleotides in length. Their secondary structure includes four short double-helical elements and three loops (D, anti-codon, and T loops).
Source: Rfam by way of RNAcentral
GAAGGUAUAACUCAGUGGUAGAGUGCGUGCUUAGCAUGCACAGGGUCCUGGGUUCAAUCCCCAGGGCUUCCA